UGGGGAAUUUUGCACAAUGGGGGAAACCCUGAUGCAGCGACGCCGCGUGAUUUAGAAGGCCUUCGGGUUGUAAAAAUCUUUUCUAUGGGAAGAAAAUGACAGUACCAUAGGAAUAAGGACCGGCUAAUUACGUGCCAGCAGCCGCGGUAAUACGUAAGGUCCGAGCGUUGUCCGGAAUCAUUGGGCGUAAAGGGUACGUAGGCGGGUAAGCAAGUUAGAAGUGAAAUCCUAUAGCUCAACUAUAGUAAGCUUUUAAAACUGCUCAUCUUGGGGUUUGGAGGGAAAGUGGAAUUCCUAGUGUAGCGGUGAAAUGCGCAGAUAUUAGGAGGAAUACCGGUGGCGAAGGCGACUUUCUGGCCAUAACCUGACGCUGAGGUACGAAAGCGUGGGUAGCAAACAGG
Molecule: ribosomal RNA, 401 nt
Filed under: bacterium
Lineage: Bacteria
Description: partial 16S ribosomal RNA
Rfam family: Bacterial small subunit ribosomal RNA
Source: RNAcentral